GAUGAACGCUGGCGGCGUGCCUAAUACAUGCAAGUCGAACGAAACUUCUUUAUCACCGAGUGCUUGCACUCACCGAUAAAGAGUUGAGUGGCGAACGGGUGAGUAACACGUGGGCAACCUGCCCAAAAGAGGGGGAUAACACUUGGAAACAGGUGCUAAUACCGCAUAACCAUAGUUAACGCAUGGUAACUAUGUAAAAGGUGGCUAUACUACCGCUUUUGGAUGGGCCCGCGGCGCAUUAGCUAGUUGGUAGGGUAAAGGCUUACCAAGGCAAUGAUGCGUAGCCGAAUUGAGAGGUUGAUCGGCCACAUUGAGACUGAGACACGGCCCAAACUCCUACGGGAGGCAGCAGUAGGGAAUCUUCCACAAUGGGCGAAAGCCUGAUGGAGCAACGCCGCGUGGGUGAAGAAGGUCUUCGGAUCGUAAAACCCUGUUGUUAGAGAAGAAAGUGCGUGAGAGUAACUGUUCACGUUUCGACGGUAUCUAACCAGAAAGCCACUGCUAACUACGUG
This 512-nucleotide ribosomal RNA is filed under the name uncultured bacterium. RNAcentral's name for it is "partial 16S ribosomal RNA". It matches the Rfam family "Bacterial small subunit ribosomal RNA", at positions 28 to 507 of the family's 1533-position model. The record is from RNAcentral.